CUACCCUCUGGAUGAGCAUACUCUCGGGAAACUGAGGCUAAUACUCAAUACCGUUCCACUGUUGGAACUACACGGAACUGCAAAUGCUCCGGCGCCAGAGGCUGUGGCUGCGGCCGAUUAGGUAGACGGUGGGGUAACGGCCCACCGUGCCAGUAAUCGGUACGGGUUGUGAGAGCAAGAGCCCGGAGACGGUAUCUGAGACAAGAUACCGGGCCCUACGGGGCGCAGCAGGCGCGAAACCUUUACACUGCACGACAGUGCGAUAAGGGGAUCCCCAGUGCGAGGGCAUAUAGUCCUCGCUUUUCACCACCGUAGGGAGGUGGUGGAACAAGAGCUGGGCAAGACCGGUGCCAGCCGCCGCGGUAAUACCGGCAGCUCAAGUGAUGGCCGCGAUUAUUGGGCCUAAAGCGUCCGUAGCCUGCCAGGUAAGUUUAUCGGGAAAUCUACAUGCUCAACAUGUAGGCGGCCGGUGAAUCCUGCCUGGCUUGGGACUGGACGGCUCGAGGGGUACGACCGGGGUAGGAGUGAAAUCCUAUAAUCCCGGUCGGACCACCGGUGGCGAAAGCGCCUCGAGAAGACAGAUCCGACGGUGAGGGACGAAAGCCAAGGUCACGAACCGGAUUAGAUACCCGGGUAGUCUUGGCCGUAAACGAUGCCCGUUAGGUGUGGCGCAGGCUACGAGCCUGCGCUGUGCCGCAGUGAAGACGAUAAACGGGCCGCCUGGGAAGUACGUCCGCAAGGAGUAAAUCA
This 750-nucleotide ribosomal RNA is filed under the name uncultured haloarchaeon. RNAcentral's name for it is "bacterial SSU rRNA". It matches the Rfam family "Archaeal small subunit ribosomal RNA", at positions 109 to 858 of the family's 1478-position model. The record is from RNAcentral. Lineage: Archaea; Methanobacteriati; Methanobacteriota; Halobacteria; Halobacteriales; Halobacteriaceae.